This 220-nucleotide ribosomal RNA is filed under the name Agathobacter rectalis. RNAcentral describes it as "partial 16S ribosomal RNA". It matches the Rfam family "Bacterial small subunit ribosomal RNA", at positions 1236 to 1454 of the family's 1533-position model. Lineage: Bacteria; Bacillati; Bacillota; Clostridia; Lachnospirales; Lachnospiraceae. The record is from RNAcentral.
GGUACAAAGGGCUGCGAGACCGCGAGGUUAAGCUAAUCCCAGAAAACCAUUCCCAGUUCGGAUUGCAGGCUGCAACCCGCCUGCAUGAAGCCGGAAUCGCUAGUAAUCGCGGAUCAGCAUGCCGCGGUGAAUACGUUCCCGGGCCUUGUACACACCGCCCGUCACACCACGAGAGUUUGUAACACCCGAAGUCGGUGAGGUAACCUUUACGGAGCCAGCC